GGGGAAGGAUGUGGCAAAGGAUACAGCAACAGGGAUGGCGGGGGAGACGGAGGCGGCUUGGAAGCGGUGGGAGCGACAAUGGCGAGCUUUGUGUCCUGAGCACAAACACAGAAGGCCUAAUUCAGAAUCAGGGUUUUUUUAAAAAAAAUUCGAAUCGUGAUUAUUAAUAGCGAUCCAAUUUAGGGGGUGUAAAAUAUGGAUCGUGAUUAUUAAUUGCGAUCUAUUUUAGAAGGUUUUAUAAAAAUAUCCAGGGGUGCAUAUGUAAAAUAUUUAUCGCCGACCUCGCCGUCCCGGUCCCCUUCCGCCGCGAUCGCCAUGACGGCCCUCAACGCCGGCGGCUUCGAUGGGGACAACGACUAUUCGCCGCGGACAGGCUCCACUCAUAGCUGAAUACCUCCCUCGCCGUGGCCUUAUCCACUAAAACCGCCUCCCCGGUACAGCCCCCGCCGUCGCGGGCUCGUCAUCGCCGCCGCCUCUACCUGCUCAAACCUUAGUCCUCCUCUCUGAUCUACUCCUCGUUUCCCUUACAAGCCAAGGACCGAAGGGCGAUAUCCUCCGCCUCCGCGAGGAGCUCAGGCUCAUACAAGAUUCGAAGGUGGACAACUCCCAUUGCCCGAUUCGUGUGAUAUGAGCUGAGAUGGGGGCACGGGGCGCGUCUUGGCGAUGGUGAUCUGCACGUUGAAUCGCAGGAUCUUCUUUCCGCAGGAGUUAGGGGAUUGGAGGGGUCUUCGCCGCUGCUAAACAACUCCGUGACGUCGGAUCUCUUGCUCGUCAGCGUCGGCCAGAGGACUCCAUGAGCACCGUUUCUUGGUGCCCAUGUCUAGUCGCGGCCUCACCAAUCACACACCAAAUUAAAUCACACUCGACAAUGCAACCUUUACACACACAUACAGUCACAGAUCUCUCUUGCACCAAUCACAGAUCGAAAGAACCUUUUGCCCUCGUGACAAGAGGAGAAAAACACAGACUUAUGUUCUCAAGUAGUACGGAGAUUUUUUUUUCUUUUUCAGAAUGAGAAAAUCUGAAGACAAUCGAAUAGCCAAGAAUUAGACUUGCCUAUAGCUUGCUGCAACAAUACAUCGGCUAGCUCUUGCCUCUCUUGUAACAACUCACUGCACCAUCUUCUGGUUCUGCAGCGGUGGCCUCCAUGCAAGACGGUUCCCGUCGGCGGCAGCGAUGAUGAUCUUGGCACCUGUCCAACGACGCCGGAGCUGACAGCGCCGAUGCCAUUGACCAGGAUCAGCGAACAGGCGCAGAGGGAGUCUUCACUCUUCAGAGAACUUGGGAUAGAGAGCAGGUGGUGGCCUCUUUCUCGCUUUCCUCAAGUGUCGCGCGCUCUCAAGCCAGAGGGAGAGGAGCAAGUGAGGGUUACACAUCACUGCUGCAAUUUAAGGGCAACACAUCACAUCAUCUACUGUAACUAAAUCAGGUAUUCGGUCCUGACAUUUCUGUCAACAUGAAUGCAGUCAUGUUGUUUAAGAGCAAUAAUGGAUGGAGAGGGC
This 1502-nucleotide long non-coding RNA is filed under the name Setaria italica (foxtail millet). RNAcentral describes it as "long non-coding RNA (SITA_LNC007393)". The record is from RNAcentral. Lineage: Eukaryota; Viridiplantae; Streptophyta; Magnoliopsida; Poales; Poaceae.